GAGAGAGCAGCGGUAUAUGAUACGAAAUAACGAGUUGGAAAACAUUUCACCUGUAUGUAUUUUGUUUACUAUGACACUAAAGCACUGGGCGAACUAGCAAAUAUUGUUGCAGAAACAUUGUUUCCCGCUAUGUUUCCAGAAUGUGUUUUGGUAUAUUCCUAGUUAUGUUUCCAUAACCUGGAAAAACACGAAACAAACUAAAAUUACAACAUAAACAAAAUAUGUUUCUGAAUUUGUUGUGAAGUACUUUAGCUUAUCCCGGACAGAAAAAUUUGUUUUUGUAAUAGCGUUUCCUAAGAUGGGAAAGCAAGGAAAGUUUGCAGGAAUUUUAUUCUUCAGGGUUGAAUAAUUAUUUCGUUAGACGAAUGGAAUAGUUAACAUGUUAUAUGUGACAAGUUUAUUCUUAAUGUUUAUUUAUUUACCAAAGAUGAAAGAAAAGAAGCAAGAUAACCAUGCACUGCAGGAACUGGAGGCUUUACAUGCGACCAGUGAUAUUGAUGUUAGCGAGAAUAAUAAUGUAAGUUGCACGAUUUGGUUGCCAACUUUAUUUGGAUAUAUAGUAUAUAGUACAUAAAUUACUAAAUUCUCAUUUGAUAGAACUUAUUUGUAUACAGCUAAUUCAAAAAAUGUUCUUUUUGUUUUUUAAAAUGACCAAUAACAAAGC
Non-coding RNA from Paramuricea clavata, 664 nucleotides. NCBI's taxonomy places the organism in Eukaryota, Metazoa, Cnidaria, Anthozoa, Malacalcyonacea, Plexauridae. The record is from the annotation of a GenBank genome assembly.